RNAcentral lists this ribosomal RNA (827 nucleotides) under uncultured organism. RNAcentral's name for it is "bacterial SSU rRNA". It matches the Rfam family "Bacterial small subunit ribosomal RNA", at positions 13 to 820 of the family's 1533-position model. The record is from RNAcentral.
UUGAUCCUGGCUCAGGACGAACGCUGGCGGCGUGCUUAACACAUGCAAGUCAAGGGGAAAGUCUCAGCUUGCUGAGAUGAGUAUACUGGCGGAUGGGUGAGUAACACGUAGGUAAUCUGCCCUUAGGACAGGGAUAAGAUUGCUAACGCGAUGCUAAUACCUGAUGAAGCAACUGUUGAAUCAGAUGGUUGUUAAAGGCUGGCUUUCAGCUAGCGCCUGAGGAUGAGCCUGCGUCUCAUUAGCUAGUUGGUAGGGUAAUGGCCUACCAAGGCGACGAUGGGUAGCCGGCCUGAGAGGGUGAGCGGCCACACUGGGACUGAGAUACGGCCCAGACUCCUACGGGAGGCAGCAGUGAGGAAUAUUGCGCAAUGGCCGAAAGGUUGACGCAGCGACGCCGCGUGAGGGAUGAAGCUUUUAGGAGUGUAAACCUCUGUUAGGAGGGAAGAAUAAUGGCAAUUCGAACAGGGUUGUCAGAUGACGGUACCUCCAGAGGAAGCCCCGGCUAACUCCGUGCCAGCAGCCGCGGUAAUACGGGGGGGGCUAGCGUUGUCCGGAAUUACUGGGCGUAAAGGGCGCGUAGGCGGGAUAGCAAGUCAGUGGUGCAAACUUGAGGCUUAACUUCAAGCUUGCCAUUGAUACUGUUAUUCUUGAGUUCGGCAGAGGGAAGUGGAAUUCCUGGUGUAGCGGUGAAAUGCGUAGAUAUCAGGAAGAACACCGGUGGCGAAGGCGGCUUCCUGGUCCGAUACUGACGCUGAGGCGUGAAAGCGUGGGGAGCGAACCAGGAUUAGAUACCCUGGUAGUCCACGCUGUAAACGAUGGGUACUAGG